Long non-coding RNA from Panthera uncia (snow leopard), 506 nucleotides. RefSeq lists it as uncharacterized. The record is from RefSeq and is a predicted model, not a curated record. NCBI's taxonomy places the organism in Eukaryota, Metazoa, Chordata, Mammalia, Carnivora, Felidae. The transcript has 4 exons.
CUUUGUGACCUCAUCCAUUCACUUGGCAUCAAAAUACCAAUUAUUUGCUAAAAUUCUCCACAUUUUAUCUCCUCCCAGACCCUUCUCAUGGAGCCCAAACAUCUUCACAGAUUGCAAGUUCCAUGAGGAAGCAGGCAGAAAGGGCCCUUACCCUGGGCUCACCUGUAGAUGGCCACGCUCUUGCUCUACUCUGGCCACAGUCCAUUCCACACACUGAGAAGUAACCGGGCCCAAGAGGAUGGAUCCAUGGGGAGCCCAUUCCCCCAUUCUAGAUUAUAAAUCAGGGAUUUCCUUCUGUCACAUCAAAAUGUACCUGUCCAAUGGCUCUCCAUUAGCCUAGGAGCACCUGGAGGAUAGGACCAUUCUUCAUCCAUCCUCAAGUUCCUCCCAUGCUCACUGUUUGCCCCAUGCUCACAUCAGAGAUCUACCCCUCAAAUCAGAUGGGACUCCAUGAUGGCUGAAACAGGGCAGAAAGGAAGGACAGAGAACACAGCAAGGAGAUCUGC